ACCAUUGGCAGUUGUGCAUAGCAUCAUGGGAAUCAUCUGUAACCAUUGGCAGUUGUGCAUAGCAUCAUGGAGAUUCUCUACUUUCCAAUCGUGGGCUGGUGAUGUUGACCUCCUUAGCAAAUGGUAAAACCUUCUUCCCAAAGUCACCCAGAAGCUUCUGAAAGAUGUUUGGAACCUGAGGGUGACUUUUCAAUGAAUGAGCCGAUCACACCAAACUCCUGUAACUUUAAAAAUUCUGCUAUUUCUCCUGAGAUAUCUGUCAAUUUUUAUUGUAUAUAAUUACAGUGCCCAUAGUGUAGACUGGCAGUCCUUUUCCUGUGUCCUCUGAAGUGCUUGUCUGAUGUUUCGCUGAAAGACAUGAAAGUGUAGUCAUGCCUUCAGCAAUAAAUAUUUGCUUCACUUAUUGUAAAUAUGCCUCGCUAAGUUCUCCCACAGGCAGACAGUAACAACUCCUUCUCAACUCACUCUCCUGCCAGCAGGUGGCAAAUUUCUUUUGACAUAAAUUAUAAGCUGCACUCCAAUUUUAGAAAUGUUAAAAUGUGAGCAAAUAAGAGUCUGAGAAUAAAGGGAAUAAAGCAGAUAUCUAAAUGAGGUAAACUCUGAGGAUUCAGAUCAAGAUUCCAGUGCCCAGAGUAAGAAGAUGAGGGUCUCAUUCUGUCACCCAGCUGGAAUGCAGAGGAGCAA
This 684-nucleotide long non-coding RNA is filed under the name Homo sapiens (human). Its description in RNAcentral is "HSALNT0308361". The record is from RNAcentral. Lineage: Eukaryota; Metazoa; Chordata; Mammalia; Primates; Hominidae.